This 340-nucleotide long non-coding RNA is filed under the name Olea europaea (common olive). Its description in RNAcentral is "long non-coding RNA (OEUR_LNC013180)". Lineage: Eukaryota; Viridiplantae; Streptophyta; Magnoliopsida; Lamiales; Oleaceae. The record is from RNAcentral.
UCUAUUUCUGCAAUAAUAAUGAUGUUUGCAUUUUACGCAGUCACUUACCACAAUUAACAUCCAAUUGAUGUGUUUCUCCUUUUGGCCAUUGCUUCAAAACUACCAGUUUCUGUAACUUCAACUUGAUUAACUUCUUGAGAAAUACACGGAGCAACAUGCAAUAAUUUUGUCUCAUUCGCACCUCAUAUUCACCCUUUGCAGGUAUAUUAACUGAAGCUUCAGGCCAAUUAACACCUAAUCGUCUUGCCUACAUUCGUAGACGGUAGAAAUCUUGGCCUAAAAAGUCACAUUAAACAUGUAAAUACGAUUUAUACCAGCCGAAGCACUGAUGGAAGAAAUG